GUUAUAUGGUCAAGCGAAUAAGCGCACACGGUGGAUGCCUAGGCGGUCAGAGGCGAUGAAGGACGUGGUAGCCUGCGAAAAGUGUCGGGGAGCUGGCAACAAGCUUUGAUCCGGCAAUAUCCGAAUGGGGAAACCCACUGCUUCGGCAGUAUCCUGCAGUGAAUUCAUAGCUGCUGGAAGCGAACCCGGUGAACUGAAAUAUCUAAGUAACCGGAGGAAAAGAAAUCAACCGAGAUUCCCUAAGUAGUGACGAGCGAACGGGGAGCAGCCCUUAAGCUGGAAUGGCUUUAGAAAAACAAUCUGGAAAGAUUGGCCAUAGAAGGUGAUAGCCCUGUAUUUAAAAGGGCCACUCCAGUGAAGACGAGUAGGGCGGGGCACGUGAAACCCUGUCUGAAUAUGGGGGGACCAUCCUCCAAGGCUAAAUACUCCUGACCGACCGAUAGUGAACCAGUACCGUGAGGGAAAGGCGAAAAGAACCCCGGAGAGGGGAGUGAAAUAGAUCCUGAAACCGUGUGCGUACAAGCAGUAGGAGCUCGCAAGAGUGACUGCGUACCUUUUGUAUAAUGGGUCAGCGACUUACUGUUCGUGGCAAGCUUAACCGUAUAGGGGAGGCGAAGGGAAACCGAGUCUGAUAAGGGCGCAUAGUCGCGGGCAGUAGACCCGAAACCGGGUGAUCUAGUCAUGGCCAGGGUGAAGGUGCCGUAACAGGUACUGGAGGCCCGAACCCACGUCUGUUGCAAAAGACGGGGAUGAGCUGUGAUUAGGAGUGAAAAGCUAAUCGAACCCGGAGAUAGCUGGUUCUCCUCGAAAGCUAUUUAGGUAGCGCCUCGGACGAAUACUACUGGGGGUAGAGCACUGUUAUGGCUAGGGGGUCAUCGCGACUUACCAAACCAUUGCAAACUCCGAAUACCAGUACGUACUAUCCGGGAGACACACGGCGGGUGCUAACGUCCGUCGUGAAAAGGGAAACAACCCAGACCCACAGCUAAGGUCCCAAAUUCACUGCUAAGUGGAAAACGAUGUGGAAAGGCAUAGACAGCCAGGAGGUUGGCUUAGAAGCAGCCACCCUUUAAAGAAAGCGUAAUAGCUCACUGGUCGAGUCGGUCUGCGCGGAAGAUUUAACGGGGCUAAGCAGUGAACCGAAGCUUGGGGUGCAUAAAACUUGUUUUAUGCGCGGUAGAGGAGCGUUCCGUAAGCCUGCGAAGGUGGAUUGAGAAGUCUGCUGGAGGUAUCGGAAGUGCGAAUGCUGACAUGAGUAACGAUAAUGCGGGUGAAAAGCCCGCACGCCGAAAGCCCAAGGUUUCCUUGCGCAACGUUAAUCGACGCAGGGUUAGUCGGUCCCUAAGGCGAGGGCGAAAGCCGUAGUCGAUGGGAAGCAGGUUAAUAUUCCUGCACCUCGCGUGAGUGCGAUGGAGGGACGGAGAAGGUUAGGUGUACCGGGCGUUGGUUGUCCCGGGGAAAGGCGGUAGGUUUGGAUCUUUGGCAAAUCCGGGAUCCUUUAAGACCGAGCACCGAGACGAGCCUUUAUGGCGAAGUCACUGAUACCACGCUUCCAGGAAAAGCUCCUAAGCUUCAGCUCACGAAGACCGUACCGUAAACCGACACAGGUGGGUAGGAUGAGAAUUCUCAGGCGCUUGAGAGAACUCGGGUGAAGGAACUAGGCAACAUGGCACCGUAACUUCGGGAGAAGGUGCACCCUUUUUGGUGGCUCAUGCGAGCUAUAGCUGAAGAGGGUCGCAGAAACCAGGCCGCUGCGACUGUUUAUCAAAAACACAGCACUCUGCAAACACGAAAGUGGACGUAUAGGGUGUGACGCCUGCCCGGUGCUGGAAGGUUAAUUGAUGGGGUCAGCCGCAAGGCGAAGCUCUUGAUCGAAGCCCCAGUAAACGGCGGCCGUAACUAUAACGGUCCUAAGGUAGCGAAAUUCCUUGUCGGGUAAGUUCCGACCUGCACGAAUGGCGUAACGACAGCGGCGCUGUCUCCACCCGAGACUCAGUGAAAUUGAAAUCGCUGUGAAGAUGCAGCGUUCCCGUGGCAAGACGGAAAGACCCCGUGAACCUUUACUAUAGCUUUACACUGAACGUUGAGUUCGUCUGUGUAGGAUAGGUGGGAGGCUAUGAAACUGUGGCGCUAGCUGCAGUGGAGCCAUCCUUGAAAUACCACCCUGUCGUGCUUGACGUUCUAACCUAGGUCCGUUAUCCGGAUCAGGGACCGUGUAUGGUGGGUAGUUUGACUGGGGCGGUCUCCUCCUAAAGAGUAACGGAGGAGCACGAAGGUACGCUCAGCGCGGUCGGACAUCGCGCACUGUGUGCAAAGGCAUAAGCGUGCUUGACUGCAAGAUCGACGGAUCAAGCAGGUACGAAAGUAGGUCUUAGUGAUCCGGUGGUUCUGUAUGGAAGGGCCAUCGCUCAACGGAUAAAAGGUACUCCGGGGAUAACAGGCUGAUACCGCCCAAGAGUUCAUAUCGACGGCGGUGUUUGGCACCUCGAUGUCGGCUCAUCACAUCCUGGGGCUGUAGUCGGUCCCAAGGGUAUGGCUGUUCGCCAUUUAAAGUGGUACGCGAGCUGGGUUCAGAACGUCGUGAGACAGUUCGGUCCCUAUCUGCCAUGGGCGUUGGAAGUUUGAGAGGGGCUGCUCCUAGUACGAGAGGACCGGAGUGGACGAACCUCUGGUGUUCCGGUUGUCACGCCAGUGGCAUUGCCGGGUAGCUAUGUUCGGAAGCGAUAACCGCUGAAAGCAUCUAAGCGGGAAGCGCGCCUCAAGAUGAGACUUCCCGGGGCACAAGCCCCCUAAAGGAACCAUGUAGACUACGUGGUUGAUAGGUCAGGUGUGUAAGUACAGCAAUGUAUUGAGCUAACUGAUACUAAUGAUCCGUGCGGCUUGACCAUAUAACCU
This 2895-nucleotide ribosomal RNA is filed under the name Xanthomonas vasicola. Its description in RNAcentral is "bacterial LSU rRNA". It matches the Rfam family "Bacterial large subunit ribosomal RNA". The record is from RNAcentral. Lineage: Bacteria; Pseudomonadati; Pseudomonadota; Gammaproteobacteria; Lysobacterales; Lysobacteraceae. RNAcentral also lists the same sequence under 7 other names.